This 218-nucleotide long non-coding RNA is filed under the name Homo sapiens (human). RNAcentral's name for it is "non-protein coding lnc-PXMP4-4:1". The record is from RNAcentral. Lineage: Eukaryota; Metazoa; Chordata; Mammalia; Primates; Hominidae.
CCUGGAUGGUCAAGGGUACAGUGAGCCAUGAUCAUAUCACCUCACUCCACUGUACUUGCUCUUGACAGAGCAAGACCCUGUCUCAAGCAAGACAAAACCCCAUGGCAAGGAUGGCCGGCUAUGCCCCAAUAUACAUUCUCUUCUAUUUCCAUUGUGAGAGAGCCCAAGAUUUUGGGCUGCAAAGAUGGCCCCCAAAUAAAGGUUACACUUCCCAGGCU